RNAcentral lists this ribosomal RNA (324 nucleotides) under uncultured bacterium. RNAcentral describes it as "bacterial SSU rRNA". It matches the Rfam family "Bacterial small subunit ribosomal RNA", at positions 28 to 334 of the family's 1533-position model. The record is from RNAcentral.
GACGAACGCUGGCGGCGUGCUUAACACAUGCAAGUCGAACGGAGCGCCUAUGAAGGAGAUUUCGGUCAACGGAAUAGGUUGCUUAGUGGCGGACGGGUGAGUAACGCGUGAGGAACCUGCCUUUCAGAGGGGGACAACAGUUGGAAACGACUGCUAAUACCGCAUAACACAUAGGUGUCGCAUGGCAUUUAUGUCAAAGAUUUAUCGCUGAAAGAUGGCCUCGCGUCUGAUUAGCUAGUUGGUGAGGUAACGGCUCACCAAGGCGACGAUCAGUAGCCGGACUGAGAGGUUGGCCGGCCACAUUGGGACUGAGAUACGGCCCAG